Molecule: ribosomal RNA, 322 nt
Filed under: uncultured eukaryote
Lineage: Eukaryota
Description: partial 18S ribosomal RNA
Rfam family: Eukaryotic small subunit ribosomal RNA
Source: RNAcentral
CCCUUAGAUGUUCUGGGCUGCACGCGCGCUACACUGAUGCACUCAACGAGUUUACAACCUUAUCCGGAAGGAUUGGGUAAUCUUUUGAACGUGCAUCGUGAUGGGGAUAGAUUAUUGCAAUUAUUAAUCUUCAACGAGGAAUUCCUAGUAAACGCAAGUCAUCAGCUUGCAUUGAUUACGUCCCUGCCCUUUGUACACACCGCCCGUCGCACCUACCGAUUGAAUGGUCCGGUGAAAUCUCGGGACGGCGGCUUGGUCGCUUGCGUCCGACUGCUGAAACUUGAUUAAACCAUAUCAUUUAGAGGAAGGUGAAGUCGUAACA